Long non-coding RNA from Gorilla gorilla gorilla (western lowland gorilla), 261 nucleotides. RefSeq lists it as uncharacterized. Lineage: Eukaryota; Metazoa; Chordata; Mammalia; Primates; Hominidae. The record is from RefSeq and is a predicted model, not a curated record. The transcript has 3 exons.
GACCAAUGAGAUCUUCAGGAGUACUUCAGCAGCUGUUUCGGAUUUUUCUCUGUGGAUGUCCUCAUGGGACUAAGUGGAAAUUGGAAAAGUAUCAUCAAACUCUUCUUGAGAUUCCUUUUUGAUAAGACUGCCCUGCUGGGAAAAUGCACUGACCAGUCAUCAGCAAAUUCUAGCCCAUUCAGCAGGUUGAAAAGCUACUGACCAGGAAGGUCAUUUCCAGCAUUUCCCAUAGCUUCAAGAUUACUAGUACAGACGCAGAAG